Molecule: small nucleolar RNA, 88 nt
Filed under: Genlisea aurea
Lineage: Eukaryota; Viridiplantae; Streptophyta; Magnoliopsida; Lamiales; Lentibulariaceae
Description: Small nucleolar RNA snoR31
Rfam family: Small nucleolar RNA snoR31
Source: Rfam by way of RNAcentral
UUGAUGGGGAUGAAGCAAUAUUUUCGAAAUUUCCAACACUUGGACUGAUUCCAUCUCUUGUGAUGCGAAAAUUUGCUGCUGAAUCAUU